CCUUAUACGACCGUACCGCAAACCGACACUGGUGCGCGAGAUGAGUAUUCUAAGGCGCUUGAGAGAACUCAGGAGAAGGAACUCGGCAAAUUGACACCGUAACUUCGGAAGAAGGUGUGCCCUAUUAGUGUGUAGUGAACAACCAAGCAUGAAUGGGUUGCAAAAAAUCGGUGGCUGCGACUGUUUAUUAAAAACACAGCACUCUGCAAACACGAAAGUGGACGUAUAGGGUGUGACGCCUGCCCGGUGCUGGAAGAUUAAAUGAUGGGGUGCAAGCUCUUGAUUGAAGUCCCAGUAAACGGCGGCCGUAACAAUAACGGUCCUAAGGUAGCGAAAUUCCUUGUCGGGUAAGUUCCGACCUGCACGAAUGGCGUAACGAUGGCCACACUGUCUCCUCCUGAGACUCAGCGAAGUUGAAAUGUUUGUGAUGAUGCAAUCUCCCCGCGGAAAGACGGAAAGACCCCAUGAACCUUUACUGUAGCUUUGUAUUGGACUUUGAACAGAUCUGUGUAGGAUAGGUGGGAGGCUUUGAAGCAGGGUCGCUAGAUCUUGUGGAGCCAACGUUGAAAUACCACCCUGGUGUGUUUGAGGUUCUAACCUAGGUCCAUUAUCUGGAUCGGGGACAGUGCAUGGUAGGCAGUUUGACUGGGGCGGUCUCCUCCCAAAGCGUAACGGAGGAGUUCGAAGGUACGCUAGUUACGGUCGGACAUCGUGACGAUAGUGCAAUGGCAUAAGCGUGCUUAACUGCGAGACUGACAAGUCGAGCAGAUGCGAAAGCAGGACAUAGUGAUCCGGUGGUUCUGUAUGGAAGGGCCAUCGCUCAACGGAUAAAAGGUACUCUGGGGAUAACAGGCUGAUACCGCCCAAGAGUUCAUAUCGACGGCGGUGUUUGGCACCUCGAUGUCGGCUCAUCUCAUCCUGGGGCUGUAGCCGGUCCCAAGGGUAUGGCUGUUCGCCAUUUAAAGAGGUACGUGAGCUGGGUUUAAAACGUCGUGAGACAGUUUGGUCCCUAUCUUCCGUGGGCGCUGCAGAUUUGAGGAAGCCUGCUCCUAGUACGAGAGGACCGGAGUGGACACACCUCUGGUGUAUCGGUUGUCACGCCAGUGGCAUUGCCGAGUAGCUAAGUGUGGAAGAGAUAACCGCUGAAAGCAUCUAAGCGGGAAACUCGUUUCAAGAUGAGAUCUGCCGGGGCCUUGAGCCCCCUAAAGAGUCGUUCAAGACCAGGACGUUGAUAGGUCAGGUGUGGAAGCUAA
Molecule: ribosomal RNA, 1253 nt
Filed under: metagenome
Description: bacterial LSU rRNA
Rfam family: Bacterial large subunit ribosomal RNA
Source: RNAcentral